GUAUAGUUCAGUGGUAGGGCAUUUGCCCAGCAUGCAUAAGUCCCUGGGUCCAAUUCCCAGUAC
This 63-nucleotide transfer RNA is filed under the name Heterocephalus glaber (naked mole-rat). It matches the Rfam family "tRNA", at positions 5 to 66 of the family's 71-position model. Rfam says of the family: Transfer RNA (tRNA) molecules are approximately 80 nucleotides in length. The record is from Rfam by way of RNAcentral. Lineage: Eukaryota; Metazoa; Chordata; Mammalia; Rodentia; Bathyergidae.